UUGUUGCAUUUGUUAGUAGUCCAGGUAACCCGUACUGUUUGAUAUCAAUCUGUUGUUUAGUUGAGUUUUGAAAGUGCCGCUAGACAGACGUGUCAAGACAUAUACCGUGCGUUUCAACUUUUGUGGAGUGCAAACGAGAAAGAAAAGAAAAGGAAAGGAGAAGACGAGCUUGCAGGAAAAAUAUUCCAGAUAAACUGCCGAACUUCAAAGUUUCAACGAUGUUCAGAGCAUGGAUGGCAAUCGGGUUGAUGGCGGCGAUCGCCGCCAACUGCGGACUCGCGUUUGUCGUAGACCGAUCAGCCGGUGCGUGGGAUGCGGUGCCCAAUUUGGACGCCGAACAUGCGUCGUCGGUGGACCGGGUGUUGAAUGGAAAAAUGCAGGUGACCGGAAUGGACAAGGUGUUGCAAUCGUCCGAUGCGAAA
Molecule: unclassified non-coding RNA, 422 nt
Filed under: Athalia rosae (coleseed sawfly)
Lineage: Eukaryota; Metazoa; Arthropoda; Insecta; Hymenoptera; Athaliidae
Description: misc RNA ENSAEAG00005004320.1
Source: RNAcentral